This 56-nucleotide transfer RNA is filed under the name Fibrobacter sp. RNAcentral describes it as "tRNA-OTHER". The record is from RNAcentral. Lineage: Bacteria; Pseudomonadati; Fibrobacterota; Fibrobacteria; Fibrobacterales; Fibrobacteraceae.
AGUGUAGUUGGUAACACGCCGGAAGAAGGUGCCAGGAUGCGGGUUCGACUCCCGCC